RNAcentral lists this ribosomal RNA (460 nucleotides) under uncultured bacterium. RNAcentral describes it as "partial 16S ribosomal RNA". It matches the Rfam family "Bacterial small subunit ribosomal RNA", at positions 338 to 795 of the family's 1533-position model. The record is from RNAcentral.
CCUACGGGAUGCAGCAGUGAGGAAUAUUGGUCAAUGGACGCGAGCCUGAACCAGCCAAGUAGCGUGAAGGAUGACUGCCCUACGGGUUGUAAACUUCUUUUAUAAAGGAAUAAAAUGAGGCACGUGUGCCUUUUUGUAUGUACUUUAUGAAUAAGGAUCGGCUAACUCCGUGCCAGCAGCCGCGGUAAUACGGAGGAUCCGAGCGUUAUCCGGAUUUAUUGGGUUUAAAGGGAGCGUAGAUGGGUUGUUAAGUCAGUUGUGAAAGUUUGCGGCUCAACUGUAAAAUUGCAAUUGAUACUGGCAGCCUUGAGUACAGUUGAGGUAGGCGGAAUUCGUGGUGUAGCGGUGAAAUGCUUAGAUAUCACGAAGAACUCCGAUUGCGAAGGCAGCUUACUAAACUGCAACUGACAUUGAUGCUCGAAAGUGUGGGUAUCAAACAGGAUUAGAUACCCGAGUAGUC